This is a long non-coding RNA of Ceratina calcarata, 3037 nucleotides long. RefSeq lists it as uncharacterized. Lineage: Eukaryota; Metazoa; Arthropoda; Insecta; Hymenoptera; Apidae. The record is from RefSeq and is a predicted model, not a curated record. The transcript is spliced from 2 exons.
ACAGAUAUAGAUCAUUUCAUGAUGUUUGUCUCAGAACAAAACCGCAGCUCAUCGCAAUGCUACCGAGUGAUAAAGGAUACUCGCACGCAAGUAGUAUAUUAUAUUACUCAUGUAUUAUUACAACGAUUAGAUAAGACAAACUUGUUGAUACGUUCUAUCGCUCAGUUUAAAAAUGUUAUAAAUAUAUCGCUACAUAUAUUUCUGUUAUCAAUACCAUUGAUGCGACGAAUAGCGUAAUAGAUAGGGGAGGCAAGUAUUAAUUUUCCAGUUGACAUCAAACUUCAAUAGGUUACUCGUUCACCCACUCUCGGAUGAAACGCAUUUCAUCUACUGAGCUAUGCAAUAAUUUAUGUUUAUUAUCUACGUACAUAAGCACGUUAUUACAAGAGUGUAAAUUAAGAAGGAAGGAUAAACCCAGAAGAUUCCCAUCCGUCUCGCACAAAAAUUGCUCCUCAUUGAGAGAGAGCUAAACCCCCCGCGUACUGUCCUUGAUAUUCGUUUGCAACGUGCGUCGGAUCCAACAUCCGGUGCAGACGAUUAACGUGCGUAUAUCGCCGCCACGCUAUGGUAUACCAAUCAGUAUAUAAUAGAAGCUACGCUUCACGCACUUCCGCCAAUGCUGGAUUUAGAGCAGUACACCCGAUGUGCCGCGACUGAUAAAGUGGCCGCGACCCCGUGGCGUUCCGCGAUACAUCUUUCCAUUCGAAAGAGUACAGAUUUCACCCGGCGUUCCCAGCGGCACGGAAAAUGCACCGUUUUUCGCUGAUCCACUUCGGACAUUACCAUACAAUCACACUCGGGGACGUUACCCGCCGCGUGUGCGCCAUUUCCGGAGGUAACAAAGAAACACAGCUAUUUCUCAACGCUUUUCACGCUUUUCCGAACGCAAAUAGAUCCGAUCGUUUCAGAUAAUGAAUAAUGCUUGCGUUACACGUAAGUUUUGUUCUAUGAUUCAAUCUGACUUCCGUUCCUUAUUUAUGACCAUAGCGAAGCUCGAUGCAAUGAAACUAUUGAAAUAUGGGAUGUGUAGUUAAAUGAAAUUCGAUGAUAUUAAAUUCUUCUCAUCGAUACAUUUUUGCUUCAUGAUAUAGGCUGUCUCAGAAGUAUUCAUCGAACAGAAACAAAUUUCUUAAGAAUCGGCGAAUCAACAAGCAAGGAGUACCAUGAUUAAGAAUGAAGAUCUUGACCUGACCCGCGGUGAAGCGUAAAGAACCGCAGACAAAACGCGCAAACAUUGUCCCCUUGUGUGGAGUAAAUUGAAAAGAGCCAGAGAGAAAGAAGCUGCAUAAAGGACUUUCGACAAUCCCUUCAUCCAGGCCCUUCCCUGUCCGAGGAAAGAUAAAAGCACAUAGGGGAGAGAGAUCGGAGGGUCCAAAGAGGAGGGUACUGCGGAAAAAAGGACAAUCCAUCGCUGUCGCCGACGCCACCCACGUUUUAUAACCGAUCCAGGGUGCGCACCCUUACGCACUCGCUAAUGCAACGCGCGCUGCAAGAAACCCUUCGCGAGGUCUCCACCCCGUGAAAUCGUUCCGAAACCCUCCAUGAGUCUAAACCAGUGUGAAUUGUGCGUGGCUUUCGUGAAAUCGAUCCCAAUCCUCGCCCUCUCCAAAGUAUCGCCGCGAGGUGUAGUUCGUUAAAUCGGAUUUGGCUAUUAAAAAGGGGUCGUCAAACGUUUCGACGCAUGUUUACACUCUGUUGAAACAAUUAUGGUGUUUUCCUAACGGGAAUGGAUGGCCUUAGGCGCGAACCGAAAGGAACGGAACAAGUAUCGAGAGCGAAUAACGUCGGCACGGUUCACGUGGGCAUAAACCUUGUCAUCUUCGCAGUAUAAUUAUUAUUGGUCACGAGCGUGAACAUGUGCGUUUCAUGUGUUGGUUAGAGGAUCUCUGACUUGGAUAUUUUCAGCAGACAGUGGCUUAAAAUAUACGUUCUCUGCCCGGCGGCGUGAUUUUUCAGAAAAGAAAUUCCACCGUCACAGACGUGAGUCCACUUUGAGAUACUCACCAUGAAUUUAUAGUUCCGCACAAAAUAUUUUCCCUCUGCAAGGAUCAAAUAUUUCAACGAACAAGUUUAACACUUUUGGCCAUGACCUCUUUACACGAUCGAACAAACCAAUGAACGAAGAUUAAAGUAACGCGUCGAACGUCAGUUUCGACGUACACUUACUUAAAAUUAUGCCUGGACCAACUGAUAAAGAACUAGCAAAAUCACGGGGAUGCCCCGACGGAUCUUACCCCCAGAAAUACGCUCCUGUUAAAAUCGAUGUCCUCUACACUUCACUCUGCAUGCUACAAGUUUUUCUCUACCAGGGCAAACAUCGCUUAAAUUAAAGAUCUUAUCAAUCAAAUGCAUUAGUUCUUCAAUCCUGAUACGAUCGUAUCGAUAAUUCUAUUCCCAUCCCACUGUGUACAUAAAUGAUAACGUACCGAUAUACAUUUGAAAAGUCUUUAAAUGUGUGUCGAUUACGAUUCGAUGGCCGCUGUAAACUUUCAUAGGCUUAUGUUUUCUCUUCUAGUUGCUCUAUUCGGAUACAUUGUGAGAUGGUAAAUCCUGCACAGUCGCGUGCAUCGAAACGUCGCUCGUAUCGCCGCGUUCCAGUUCGUGGCUGAUCCAAUUAAAAGGCGAUUUCUUUUUUAAUUGCGAUUGUAGACGGAGAAACUGUACACAUGGGGCCGGCCGGUUCAUCGCUGACCGACCGGACGCACACGGUGGCCGGUUGACUCGGCAAACAUUCGCCUAAGCUAAAUACAAGCACACACACACGCACACAUGUCACCUUUUAAGCCGGACAAACGAGCCUCGAAGGUGCGCAAUAAUAUUCGGCUAUUUAAUACGCGGAUGCAAUCUAAGAGUUAGCGGUAAUUAUGUAACGUUACAUAAUCCGAUGCAUUCUUCUUUAGAACGACGCUGCUUAAAUUCAAAUAACGGAAUUCGCAUUAAACUAAUGUACGACACGCUGUAUCAAGUUUACGAUGAUGUAAUCCUGGAUUUAGCUCGUAGGCCAUUAGUUUAGUAAUUAAACGAAAGUAAUAAAGAA